GUUUCCUCAUGCAAGUGUUGUAGGUUUGUGUCUUGUGUGCAUCCUGUUGCUAUUCUGAGUGCUGUGUUCUGUGUGGUCUGGAGUUUUGUCUUGUUUGUGUCCGAUAGUGUUGGUGACCAUAUAGUGUUUGCGUAUUCGAGGCGUGUGAGUGUGGUUGCUUUGUAUGUGGUGAGUAUAGUUUCUUUGGAUUUUCCCCAGUGAGUGGUUGUUAAGGCUUUAAGUAUUUUGUUUGAUUGCUUGGCGCGGGUUAGAGUGUGUUGUGUGUGUUUUGAGAAGGUGAGUUUGGGGUCCCAUGUUAAUCCCAGUAUUUUGGGUUCGCGGACUGUGGGUAGGGUGGUGUUAUCUAUUUGUAAAGUGAGCCUGUUGCUGUAUUCUGCCGGAUCCGGUGUGAACAGAGUGGUGGUGGUUUUGUCUGCGUUGAGUGUGAUUUGGUUCUGUUUUGUCCAGUUGUAUAUGUCGUGGAGAUAUUUUUGUACUUGUUGUUGUGCCUGUUGUGGUUUGACAUGUGUGGAUAGAAUGGUGAUGUCGUCUGCAUAUGUAACUGUGUGUACAUUUGGAGGUGGUUGUGGUAAGUCUGCCAUGUAUAUGUUGAAUAGUGUUGGUGAAAGUACUCCCCCCUGUGGUACCCCCGUUUUCGUGUUUCUAUGUUCUGAUGUUUCCCCCCGGUAUUGAGUGUAUUGUCUGCGUCCCCUUAUGUAGUUGAAGAUGUAUUUGAUGAUGAUGUUUGGGGUGUUAGUGUUGUUGAGUUUGUUUGUGAGUGUGUGUAGGUUUACCGUGUCAAAGGCUUUGGACAUGUCUAGGGCUAUGGCAACUGUUCGUUGUGGUGGUUUUUGUUGAUUGAAACCUGUGGCUAUGAUGUUGUGUAUGUGGUGUAGUGCUUUGGUUGUGGAGUGUUGUUUUCGGAAGCCGUGUUGGUGAGAGGGUAGUUGAGUGUUGUUGGUAAUGAAGGGUAGUAUUACCUUUUCCAUUGUUUUGGCUAUUGGGCUGAGUAGUGCUAUUGGUCUGUAAGAUGGGCCGAGUGCGUGGUUUUUGUUGGGUUUUGGUAUUGGGAUUAUUUUUGCAGUCUUCCAUAUUGCGGGGAUGGUGUUGGUGUUGAGUGAUGUGUUGUAAGUGUGUGUGAGUAGUGUUAUUGCUUUGGGGCCUAGGUGUUUCAGAUGUCUGAUGUUUAUGUUGUCUGGGCCUGUGGAGUUGUUGCUUUUGGAGCGUUGUAGUGCUUGUUUGACUUGUUGUUCUGUGAUGGUUAUGGGCGUGGUGUUGAGUUUUCGUAUUUUGCGUUGUAGUUGUCUGUAUGUUCUGUUGGUUUUGUGUUGUAUUAUGUUGGUGAAUUGUUUGUUGAAUGCUCGUGCUUUCUGUUUGUUGGAUAUUGCCGUGUGUUGUCCGAACUGUAUUGUGGUGUUUUCUGGUGCUUUUUGUUCUUUGUUAGAUAGUCUUGUUACUGUGUUCCAGAGUAUGUGUUGUUUGUGUCUGUGGUUCCAUGCAUCCGUUAAGUGUUCUUUCCAUAGCUCUUGUUUGUGUUUUUGGAUUUGUGUGUCUAUUUCUUUGUUUAGGUCUGUGAUGCGUGGGUCUUGGUGGUUUUGUUGUCUGAUGUCGUUUCUUUGGCUGAUGAGUGUUCUGAUGUGUUGUGGUAGGAGAAGUGAUUUGCUUUUUAUUUUUCCGUGGGGUAUGUGGUGUUUGUCUGCUGUAAGUAUGAGGUUUGUGAGCAUGGUGUUGGCUGUGUGGAUGUUGUCAGGUAUGGUUAUGUUCUCCAGUGCUGAUUCUAUUUCAGAGGUGUAUCCUUCCCAGUCUGCUUUCCUGUAAUUUGUGUAAGUUUGAAGGUGUUGUUGUAGGCGGAAAGGAGCACGCGUGUUGUGUGUGAUUUUGAUGGGAAGGUGGUCUGAACUGAGUGCGUGUAUUGUGGUCCAUGUUGUUCUGUUUGUGAUGCUGUUGCUGGCUGUUGUGAUGUCCGGUGAUGUUGGUUGUUGGUUGAUGUUUUUAGGUUUUCUGGUAGGUGUGUUUGCGUUUAGAGUGAUUUGUUGGGAGUUCUGUAGUACGUCUGCAAUGAGGGUGCCUCUGUGGUCGUCGUAGGGAGAGUGCCAUUGUGUUGAGUGAGCGUUGAUGUCUGCGGUUAGAAUGGUGUUGUUCAGCGAGUUUAUGUAUUGGAAGGUGUUGGUGAUGUCUGUGUCUUCUGUGGCGUGGUCUGGUCGGGUGGUAUCUCUGGGGGGUAUAUACAUGUUGCAUAUGUGUAGUCUUUUGUGGUUGGUUAUGUGAAUCUUUACGGUUUGAAUUUCUGUAGUGUUGGUGUUAAUGUUGUUGGGGAUGUUCAUGGGAGUGAAUGUGACUGAUUUGUGAAUGUAUGUGAGCAGUCCUCCUCCUCCCUUGUGUUCUCUGUCUUUCCUAAUGCUGGUGUAGUUGGUGAGACGAGGUGUGUUGUGUUGUUUUUCUAGUUUGGUUUCUUGUAUGGUGAUGAUGUCUGCGUG
Hippocampus zosterae (dwarf seahorse) is the source of this 2456-nucleotide long non-coding RNA. RefSeq lists it as uncharacterized. Lineage: Eukaryota; Metazoa; Chordata; Actinopteri; Syngnathiformes; Syngnathidae. The transcript has 3 exons. The record is from RefSeq and is a predicted model, not a curated record.